GGGUUGUGAGGUUAAGCGACUAAGCGUACACGGUGGAUGCCCUGGCAGUCAGAGGCGAUGAAGGACGUGCUAAUCUGCGAAAAGCGUCGGUAAGGUGAUAUGAACCGUUACAGCCGGCGAUGUCCGAAUGGGGAAACCCAGUGUGAUUCGUCACACUAUCGUUAACUGAAUACAUAGGUUAACGAGGCGAACCGGGGGAACUGAAACAUCUAAGUACCCCGAGGAAAAGAAAUCAACCGAGAUUCCCCCAGUAGCGGCGAGCGAACGGGGAGCAGCCCAGAGUCUGAAUCAGCUUGUGUGUUAGUGGAACGGUCUGGAAAGUCCGACGGUACAGGGUGAUAGUCCCGUACACCAAAAUGCACAGGCUGUGAACUCGAAGAGUAGGGCGGGACACGUGGUAUCCUGUCUGAAUAUGGGGGGACCAUCCUCCAAGGCUAAAUACUCCUGACUGACCGAUAGUGAACCAGUACCGUGAGGGAAAGGCGAAAAGAACCCCGGCGAGGGGAGUGAAAAAGAACCUGAAACCGUGUACGUACAAGCAGUGGGAGCACCUUUAUGGUGUGACUGCGUACCUUUUGUAUAAUGGGUCAGCGACUUAUAUUCUGUAGCAAGGUUAACCGUAUAGGGGAGCCGCAGGGAAACCGAGUCUUAACUGGGCGUUAAGUUGCAGGGUAUAGACCCGAAACCCGGUGAUCUAGCCAUGGGCAGGUUGAAGGUUGGGUAACACUAACUGGAGGACCGAACCGACUAAUGUUGAAAAAUUAGCGGAUGACUUGUGGCUGGGGGUGAAAGGCCAAUCAAACCGGGAGAUAGCUGGUUCUCCCCGAAAGCUAUUUAGGUAGCGCCUCGUGAAUUCAUCUUCGGGGGUAGAGCACUGUUUCGGCUAGGGGGUCAUCCCGACUUACCAACCCGAUGCAAACUACGAAUACCGAAGAAUGUUAUCACGGGAGACACACGGCGGGUGCUAACGUCCGUCGUGAAGAGGGAAACAACCCAGACCGCCAGCUAAGGUCCCAAAGUCACAGUUAAGUGGGAAACGAUGUGGGAAGGCACAGACAGCCAGGAUGUUGGCUUAGAAGCAGCCAUCAUUUAAAGAAAGCGUAAUAGCUCACUGGUCGAGUCGGCCUGCGCGGAAGAUGUAACGGGGCUAAACUGUGCACCGAAGCUGCGGCAGCGACACUAUGUGUUGUUGGGUAGGGGAGCGUUCUGUAAGCCUGCGAAGGUGGCCUGUGAGGGUUGCUGGAGGUAUCAGAAGUGCGAAUGCUGACAUAAGUAACGAUAAUGCGGGUGAAAAGCCCGCACGCCGGAAGACCAAGGGUUCCUGUCCAACGUUAAUCGGGGCAGGGUGAGUCGACCCCUAAGGCGAGGCCGAAAGGCGUAGUCGAUGGGAAACAGGUUAAUAUUCCUGUACUUGGUGUUACUGCGAAGGGGGGACGGAGAAGGCUAUGUUAGCCGGGCGACGGUUGUCCCGGUUUAAGCAUGUAGGCGGAGGUUCCAGGUAAAUCCGGUACCUUUUAACGCUGAGGUGUGAUGACGAGGCACUACGGUGCUGAAGUAACAAAUGCCCUGCUUCCAGGAAAAGCCUCUAAGCAUCAGGUAACAUUGAAUCGUACCCCAAACCGACACAGGUGGUCAGGUAGAGAAUACCAAGGCGCUUGAGAGAACUCGGGUGAAGGAACUAGGCAAAAUGGUGCCGUAACUUCGGGAGAAGGCACGCUGAUAUGUAGGUGAAGUCCCUGCGGAUGGAGCUGAAAUCAGUCGAAGAUACCAGCUGGCUGCAACUGUUUAUUAAAAACACAGCACUGUGCAAACACGAAAGUGGACGUAUACGGUGUGACGCCUGCCCGGUGCCGGAAGGUUAAUUGAUGGGGUUAUCCGUAAGGAGAAGCUCUUGAUCGAAGCCCCGGUAAACGGCGGCCGUAACUAUAACGGUCCUAAGGUAGCGAAAUUCCUUGUCGGGUAAGUUCCGACCUGCACGAAUGGCGUAAUGAUGGCCAGGCUGUCUCCACCCGAGACUCAGUGAAAUUGAACUCGCUGUGAAGAUGCAGUGUACCCGCGGCAAGACGGAAAGACCCCGUGAACCUUUACUAUAGCUUGACACUGAACAUUGAGCCUUGAUGUGUAGGAUAGGUGGGAGGCUUUGAAGCGUGGACGCCAGUCUGCGUGGAGCCAACCUUGAAAUACCACCCUUUAAUGUUUGAUGUUCUAACGUUGGCCCCUGACCGGGGUUGCGGACAGUGUCUGGUGGGUAGUUUGACUGGGGCGGUCUCCUCCCAAAGAGUAACGGAGGAGCACGAAGGUUAGCUAAUCCUGGUCGGACAUCAGGAGGUUAGUGCAAUGGCAUAAGCUAGCUUGACUGCGAGCGUGACGGCGCGAGCAGGUGCGAAAGCAGGUCAUAGUGAUCCGGUGGUUCUGAAUGGAAGGGCCAUCGCUCAACGGAUAAAAGGUACUCCGGGGAUAACAGGCUGAUACCGCCCAAGAGUUCAUAUCGACGGCGGUGUUUGGCACCUCGAUGUCGGCUCAUCACAUCCUGGGGCUGAAGUAGGUCCCAAGGGUAUGGCUGUUCGCCAUUUAAAGUGGUACGCGAGCUGGGUUUAGAACGUCGUGAGACAGUUCGGUCCCUAUCUGCCGUGGGCGCUGGAGAAUUGAGGGGGGCUGCUCCUAGUACGAGAGGACCGGAGUGGACGCAUCACUGGUGUUCGGGUUGUCAUGCCAAUGGCAUUGCCCGGUAGCUAAAUGCGGAAGAGAUAAGUGCUGAAAGCAUCUAAGCACGAAACUUGCCCCGAGAUGAGUUCUCCCUGAGACUUUAAGUCUCCUGAAGGAACGUUAAAGACGAUGACGUUGAUAGGUCGGGUGUGUAAGCGUAGCGAUACGUUGAGCUAACCGAUACUAAUGAACCGUGAGGCUUAACCUUACAACGCCGAAG
This 2926-nucleotide ribosomal RNA is filed under the name Klebsiella aerogenes. Its description in RNAcentral is "bacterial LSU rRNA". It matches the Rfam family "Bacterial large subunit ribosomal RNA". The record is from RNAcentral. Lineage: Bacteria; Pseudomonadati; Pseudomonadota; Gammaproteobacteria; Enterobacterales; Enterobacteriaceae.